This 782-nucleotide long non-coding RNA is filed under the name Salvia miltiorrhiza (redroot sage). Its description in RNAcentral is "long non-coding RNA (SMIL_LNC001987)". Lineage: Eukaryota; Viridiplantae; Streptophyta; Magnoliopsida; Lamiales; Lamiaceae. The record is from RNAcentral.
UUGCUUAAUCAAACUCUUUGGAUUAAACACAUACUUCUUAACUGAGAGACAUGAAACACAUUGUGCACGUCUCCAAUACUAGGUGGCAAUGCCAACCUAUAGGCUACAGGGCCUAUCUUAUCUAAGAUCUCAAAAAGUCCUAUAUAACGGGGUCGUAACUUGCCCCUCUUUCUGAAACGUAUAACUCCAUUUGAGGGAGAAACUUUGAGGAAAACUCGAUCCCCAAUAUUGAAUUCUAACUCCGAUCGGCGUUUAUCGGCGUAAGACUUUUGUCUAUAUUGAGCUUAUUUGAUUCUUUGCUUGAUGUGGUCGACUUUCUCAAUCAUCUGUUGGACCAGUUCAGGACCUAACAACAUUCUUUCACCCACUUCAUCUUAGUAAAGUGGUGAACUACCUUAAUUGUUUCCUUCGUCCUAAGUCACCUUCUCAGAUUUGACUAGGAAAUUCUAACAUCAGACUUUUCUCAUUAUCUUGGUAACUUUCACUUAAAGAUUAAUGGCACUCCUUCCGCCAUGUAAACUCAUUUUCUUAUUUCCAAAUGAUUAUUUAAUGGGGGUUUCUAAAUUUCCAUUGUGGUGGCGUUCCAACUUUAUUCUUGUUGUAGCUUCUGGCACUUUAGCUAAAGCAUUUACUCUCUUAACUUGAGCCUACUAGCCUUGGGGUUGGGUUAUACCUUAAGUUUAGUUCUAGUGCUUUCCUUCCAUUUCCUUUUUCUUUACCUCCAUCUUGAGGUGGUGUACAUAUCUUGUUUGUGCGUGAACUUUUUCCUUCUCCAAUUGUUG